GGGUCAGGAGGGUGCUCGUGCCACCGGUACGUACUGGUCUCACUGAUUCCUCCUUCCUGAAGAACCGUAAUGCCAUUAAUUUGGUGUUGCGGGGAAACAGGACUGUUACUUUGAAAAAAUUAGAGUGUUUAAAGCAAGCUAACGCUUGAAUACAUUAGCAUGGAAUAAUGAAAUAGGACGAUCGAUCCUAUUUUGUUGGUUUCUAGGAUUGACGUA
This 216-nucleotide ribosomal RNA is filed under the name Glomeromycotina sp. RNAcentral describes it as "partial small subunit ribosomal RNA". The stretch from base 40 to 216 matches the Rfam family "Eukaryotic small subunit ribosomal RNA", at positions 686 to 864 of the family's 1831-position model. The record is from RNAcentral. Lineage: Eukaryota; Fungi; Glomeromycota.